UACGUAGGUGACCAGCGUUGUCCGGAUUUACUGGGCGUAAAGAGCGCGCAGGCGGUCGUUCAAGUCGAGUGUGAAAGCCCCCGGCUCAACUGGGGAGGGUCACUCGAUACUGAUCGACUUGAAGGCAGGAGAGGGAAGCGGAAUUCCCGGUGUAGUGGUGAAAUGCGUAGAUAUCGGGAGGAACACCAGUGGCGAAGGCGGCUUUCUGGUCUGCUCUUGACGCUGAGGCGCGAAAGCUAGGGUAGCAAACGGG
Molecule: ribosomal RNA, 253 nt
Filed under: uncultured bacterium
Lineage: Bacteria
Description: partial 16S ribosomal RNA
Rfam family: Bacterial small subunit ribosomal RNA
Source: RNAcentral